CCACAAGACAGCACCACUCUAAACAUCACAUUAAUAAGGCUACAAAAUGCAACCUUUCUAGAAAUUCUGGAUCAGCAUUUCCAGGGAUGUUUCUAGAUAAGCAUUAUAAUAUACAAUGAUCCUUUAAAGGUCAACCACUAAGCAUUUUUAUUUAGAGCUACUAAUUCAACCUUAUGAUUGUAGUUCAGUUUAAAUAAAACAGCACCUAACCAAGAAACCCUUGCCACAAGGAAUAUGAUAGAAACAGGAAAGGAACACUUAUCCAGAGAUCACUGCAGAGAUAUGCCCUCUAUCCUCUUGAGACUUUCCAAUAAGAAAACAAGAAACUCUGGGGGAAAACAUUGGUGACACAGUCACACAACAGAUACAAUGACAACACGAGUGCAAAUGUUGAACAGGAAGUCAUUUCAAGCUCAGUCAAACAUUUCCACAAACAAACCUACUCAAGUCAAACCAAGAAAGAAAACAUAACUGAAGUUGCCAAAAGUCAGCACAAAAAAGAACUCCUGUCACAGCUCCCAACUUAAAGUUUUGUAUUAUAUAUUUUAUCAACAAAUAAUGCCUUCUGCUGGCCUCUAAGAGGCUUAUAUAGUCUACAUUUGAGCCUUUACCUGACUCCCACCUGAAGCCAAUCAUGCCUAACUGUGAAUUAAUUAACUUGAUUGUGAUGGUGCUUUCAGGUAGAAACCAUAGAGAUGGAAAGAGGUCUCUUUUGUGCAUCAAUUAAAUUAUAAUGUGUGUGUGUUCCUGUUAGGACUGCGCCACACUGGCCAUCUCUAUGUUAAAGUUUAAAUGUCAUUAUUUGGCUGAUCCCUCCUGAUGACAGGUUCAAGUUGUGAUCAUAUGACCAACCGGGUCAUCAGGAAGAAUAAGUGAAUUGUAUAUUUACGUGUGCACAGUUAUAUGUGAAAAAUCUAAUAUGUGGGAGGGCGAGAAUAUGGGGGAGAAAUGUAUAACUUUUCUUAUUUGAUUAUAUAUGCAAAUAAAACAUUUAAAUCCAAUUCUUAAAAGCCUGAAAUUUCUAAAUAGAAAAUGUCAUCUUUCGCUUAACAGGCCCCAAAUAUUUUUGCUUACAGGAUUCUGCAUGACAGGGCCACUAGGUUUUUGAAGACAGUCCUUUUGCACCCAGUCUUGUUUUUGAUUAUUCACAUUGUGCAUUGUGAACAAUGUGUUUUCCUUAGCUCCUCUACCUGUGAAACGUGUUGCACAGGCACUCAUGAUGUAGUUACGCCACUGGCUCCAGGUAUAUGGAGGUGAUGUAGUUACGCCACUGGCUCCAGGUAUAUGGAGGUGAUUUAGUUACGCCACUGGCUCCAGGUAUAUGGAGGUGAUGUAGUUAUGCCACUGGAUCCAGGUAUAUGGAGGUGAUUUAGUUACGCCUCUGGCUCCAGGUAUAUGGAGGUGAUGUAGUUACGCCACUGGCUCCAGGUAUAUGGAGGUGAUGUUGUUACGCAGAGAUGGGGACAAGUCACACAUGAUCAAGUCCAAGCAAGUCUCAAGUCUUCACCAUCAAGUCUCGAGUCAAGUCUCAAGUCACAGUUCAGAUAAAUCAAGCAAGUCAAGUCAAGUCAAGGGUUCACCUUAAGCAAGUCAAGUCGAGUCCUUAUAAGUUUCAAGUCAAGUCACAGUACUAAAGAGAUGAACACACACACACACUGUCCUCUGUUUCUGACGUGCGCUCGGUGCGAAGCUCGAUUUCAAAAUCAAAUAUUUUUCUCCUCCGCGGUACAAUUUUUUGGGGGGACGAAGCGGAGGGAUCUUCAAUCUGCCUGAAGGGGUUGUAUUCGCUAUAACAACUACCUCGCUAUACCUUAUCCCGCGUAUUACAUGGCUACCUACCAAAUAAAUCAAUAAUUUGACACAAAAUAUUGAUUUCAAAAGGAAUUUAUUGAUUUGAAAACGAUUGUAUUGCUUCCUCUAAAGAAAAGAGUCCGUUCCAUCUCUGGUUAGAACCCUGCUGCGUCCAUAGCAACGCGCUGUUUUUCAUGGCAACGGUCUGUUAUCAAGAAAUAACACGCAUUCUGCACUGGAAUUCAGCCAAUCCAUGUAAUAAGGGCUAAUAAUAACCUUAUAAACUAAUUAUUGUGACUGAAAAACUGCCUAAUAUGUAAUUACGCUGUAAUUAUUCUUGUCUGUAUGAGUAAAAAAAAAAAACUCUUCGAAAUGUUUAGGUGCUAGUAAUCACAUCGGCGCCUCCAUGUUAGCCUUUCAUGCAGUAAAGUUAUGGUGUAAGCACAAUGCUUUUUAGUUUCCACACGCAGUCCACAAACACUUGAAAAUGCGCACAUUUAAUACAGACAUUAUAGCCUACGUCUAAUAAUAUACAAG
Esox lucius (northern pike) is the source of this 2328-nucleotide long non-coding RNA. NCBI's taxonomy places the organism in Eukaryota, Metazoa, Chordata, Actinopteri, Esociformes, Esocidae. The record is from Ensembl.